UGCCGCGUGAGUGAUGAAGGCCUUCGGGUCGUAAAGCUCUUUUACCAGGGAUGAUAAUGACAGUACCUGGAGAAUAAGCUCCGGCUAACUCCGUGCCAGCAGCCGCGGUAAUACGGAGGGAGCUAGCGUUGUUCGGAAUUACUGGGCGUAAAGAGUACGUAGGCGGUUAUUCAAGUCAGAGGUGAAAGCCCGGGGCUCAACCCCGGAACUGCCUUUGAAACUAGAUAACUAGAGUCUUGGAGAGGUUAGUGGAAUUCCGAGUGUAGAGGUGAAAUUCGUAGAUAUUCGGAAGAACACCAGUGGCGAAGGCGACUAACUGGACAAGUACUGACGCUGAGGUACGAAAGCGUGGGGAGCAAACAGGAUUAGAUACCCUGGUAGUCCACGCCGUAAACGAUGAUAACUAGUUGUUCGGUCACUUGGUGACUGAGUGACGCAGCUAACGCAUUAAGUUAUCCGCCUGGGGA
Molecule: ribosomal RNA, 467 nt
Filed under: Novosphingobium sp.
Lineage: Bacteria; Pseudomonadati; Pseudomonadota; Alphaproteobacteria; Sphingomonadales; Sphingomonadaceae
Description: bacterial SSU rRNA
Rfam family: Bacterial small subunit ribosomal RNA
Source: RNAcentral